Haliotis rufescens (red abalone) is the source of this 5883-nucleotide long non-coding RNA. RefSeq lists it as uncharacterized. Lineage: Eukaryota; Metazoa; Mollusca; Gastropoda; Lepetellida; Haliotidae. The record is from RefSeq and is a predicted model, not a curated record. The transcript is spliced from 2 exons.
UUACUUACUCGUAACUGUGCCGCCCCCGUCCUCUGCGGAAUCCCGCUGGUCGCAAUGAUUCGGGCGUUCUGGUGAUUGUGUGAUACGACGUAGAUGGCUGCAAUUAAUAUCUAUCACUGGGUUGUCGGGUCCAGACUCAAUUAUUUAUAGGCCGCCAAUAUAUACCUGGAAGAAGUUCCCAGUGCGGCGUUAACAAAAACAAAUAUAUGUAGAACAAUACUUUUUUACACAUAAGGCAUCGAAAGAAACACUCGCGUUAAACAUAAUAAUAUUUAUCUAUUUCUUGUCUAUUUAGAUCCUCUUGACUGUAAGUGUUUGUCGCGUAUUUCUAUUAUGGAAUAAAUAGCUAUGAAACAGAUCCCAAGAAGAGAAAACUCUGCGUGUUGCAACUUGUGUUCAUGGACGUGUAACAUAGAGCAUGUGUGAAUGGUUGCCCCGGCUGUGGAAUGUACACACGCGUAGUUAGGUUAUGAUCAUUCUAAACUAUACUCUGUAUAUCUAUACUCCCGAAGUACAAGAACACCCCUCACGGUAGUUCGGAUCGUCGUGAUUACUCGUUAGAACGUAACAAACCAUACCACUUGGAAUUCGCUCUCUUGGUUUUACUGCGACGUUAUUUCUGAUCGUUUAUAAAUUCACUGCUAAGAACCUUUGCUAUCACAUGGCUGUCAUGUAUCAAUAUUCACAAUGCAAGGACCUUCCACACUAAUGAAAUGCACAUAUGAACAACGAAUAAUAGCCGGGUUUUCCCAGUCCCUUUAUUUCCAUUAACACGUGGGUGUAUUUUUAUAAUCCUGCAUCAAAAGACUUGCGCGGAUGCAGUACUUGUAUAUCGCGACAUAGAACAGUCACCGUGCCUUCACGUUACAGGAUAAGAAGCUCAUUUGUCUGAAUGAACACCUUUAAACAUAUGACCCUUGUUUCUGAAAUCCUGGUCGGAAUGGUGGUCACGUUGUGUGCCCCCACAGGAAGACGCAUGCUGAAGAAUGAGUGUCUGUGCAUCCCGCGCAGAGACAUAUACCUGUACAAACUAAUUGCAAACUAUAAGAAGAAACAACCAUCAAUUCUUGUUUUCACAAUACCUAAAGUGAAGAAACGGUUCGAACCAUUUUGGAAGGAGGCAUUGAAGAAUGUACCUACGACAAAUCCCUGGAUUGAUAACUUACUUGGGACCAGAAAAAACAAGAUCCUGAAAGACGAGAGAUACCUGUGCACUACAUCCAUUAUGAUGGACGUUGACAAUUUGAGAUUUCCAGGAACACGAGACUUUGUUCAGUGUCGUAAAACCAGGUUGGGAAGUGCCGGGACGUGUGUGGAUGUGAGUGAACCAGUUGUUGCUCUGAGAAUUACCAACCCAAGACAGAAGACACGUAAGUGUCGAUAUGUGCCCACCAUAGAAUGGAGGGUUGUUGGGUGCUCUUGGCUACCAGAUGGACUCAGUAGAAUGAAGGUACAUAAACGCCCCCAUCAUUAAUGAACAAAUCAACGUCUGCAUUUAGAUUUGCAUGAAUACGGAAGGUGAUAAAUGCGAGAUUCAGGAUGUGAAGUGUAUCAAGUGUCUGUCUGAAUUUGAUACGAUUGUUUUGUGCCAAUUGUGUGCAUUUAUUCCAUGAAAUGGUGCGACAUAUUACCAUCGACGUUUCUUUAUUGUCCAUUUAUUACACAACUCUUGUGAUGCAGAUAUAGUUUACCUACCCCUUGGAUCCACCUAAAUCAUUCUUAAGUGAAUGUAAAUGCCCAUGAACAGAACAACGUCACUACUAGACCUGUUUCACACUUGGGUGGAAUAACAACGCAGUGACCUCUAAAACAUUUCACAAGCUUUAAGGACGAUUUACUUCCAGUUAUUCUCUGAUGUACAUCACCAUCAUGUGUUAUAUACACCAUGGUGACGCAGACUAUGGUUGACAUUAUGGUGGGCGUAUUCACAAUCAAUGUCUCCUUCCCAACAUUCCAUUCCACCUCCAUUCAUUACGUGUACCUGGGAAAUAUAUAGCAUUUCCAACUCGACCUGUGACGUGGUGCUAUAAACAGCUGUGAAUUCCCAGUGUGUAAAUACAUCCAAAGGUCUCCUAAUAAAAGAACAUACACGUAUCAGACAAUGAUCCUAAGUUGCUUUAAUCGAGAUCAGAUUAUUCAUGAACGGUGAGCAGCAGAUACGGAAGAUAAUUAUGUCAAUAGUUUAGGGGAUUCAUGAAAUUAUAUAUUACUAUGAUGAACAGGAGAAAGCUUUGAAAACUAGCUGAGUUAGAACGGUUUAGGGACCAAAACCUAACUCCCCAAACACCCCCGAAACAUUGCACGUGAACCAUGCAGCUCCACCGUGCACGUGGUCAUUUAUGAUUCUGACACUUCAGUGAAAGGAGUCAUUGGUGUUGUUGAUUUUCAUUAUCCACAGUAACAUGUAGGCUCUCUACUCUUGCUUGAAUGCAGUAUUUGUGUUCAUAUCGGGAAAUCGGUCGUCUACUAAGUGACUGACGCCUUAGGGCGUAUGGCAUGCGUCAAACUGGUAGAAUUCAGCAGCAGGUAGCUAAUUAUAAAGUAGUCGUCCUGAAGCCUGGUUUCUUUGAUUCUUCUUAAGUCUCGGCAUGGCGCUAUUAUCGAUACAAGAAUGUUGGAUCCACGUAUUGGCGUGUCGUUUUUCAGAAAAGGCACAAGGAAACGAAAACGAAUUUAUAGAUUUCAUGGAAAGCAUUCGAGACGUUAUACUAUGUUUGUUGUUAAGCUGCUUUUCGACGACCCAUUAUAUCAUUAUUUGUGUCACGUUUUGGCCGUUAACAAUACACGUGACCAAUGUCAAAAAGGAGAUACCUCCAACAGGCAGCAUUGAUAUUUCAAUGGGAAAUUUUCAUGAAGUGACGGGGCGGUCGUGUAUCCUAGUGGUUAAAGCGUAAGCUCGUCACGCCGAGACCCGGGUUCGAUUUCCGAUAUGGGUACAAUGUGUGAAGCCAAUUUCUGGUGUCCCCCGCCGUGAUAUUACUGGAACAUUGCUAAAAGCGGCGUAAAACCAAACUCACUCACUCACUAAUGAAGUGAAGUUUCCUUUGUGGUUCAGUAGGUGUUCAUUGUAUCUCAGUCUUUGAUUUGCAGACUUUGGAACAGACUUUAAGAAAUCGAGCCUAAACAGCUGUUGGACAAGGCCAUCGGAAUUACUGUUACCGACCACACAAUAAGUAAUCUAAUCUACAUACUCGGGGACUACGUGUUUUACUACCAUUAACAAAGCGAAACAUUCGAGGCAUACGCCAAUGGCGUUUUGAGCGUAGAAACUGGAAUAGAUCGCCCACUGUCUCGCGUAAAGUUUUCACAUGAAUCCAGUGUAACUCAGGACUUUCAGGAUAGGCGGGGACGUGUGGAGGCUUUCUAACGAACGGCAUGCGAAAGCCAACGUAAGGCACCAUGACAUAUUUGGGGGUGGGUCUAUAAUGACAUUGGACGUGAUGACUAUAACUGCCAGAACACCACUGCGUACUGAUCACUGGACAGUACUACCAAGACAACAUACUGGCGCCAAUAGUUGCCGUUUGCGCGCAUUGCUGGUUCACGUUUUGUCUUUCAAGGCGCUAAAGCUCGUGCUAACUGUGCACGUAUCGAUUAGCUUCAGCAGAUUACAUUCAGCAGCAAAACGUCACCAGAAUGCCAUGGCCAGCCAGGAGCCCUGACCUUUCCCCCAUAGAUCACGUCUGACACAUCACCAGAAUGCCAUGGCCAGCCAGGGGCCCUGACCUUUCCCCCAUAGAUCACGUCUGACACAUCACCAGAAUGCCAUGGCCAACCAGGGGCCCUGACCUUUCCCCCAUAGAUCACGUCUGACACAUCACCAGAAUGCCAUGGCCAGCCAGGGGCCCUGACCUUUCCCCCAUAGAUCACGUCUGACACAUCACCAGAAUGCCAUGGCCAGCCAGGGGCCCUGACCUUUCCCCCAUAGAUCACGUCUGACACAUCACCAGAAUGCCAUGGCCAGCCAGGGGCCCUGACCUUUCCCCCAUAGAUCACGUCUGACACAUCACCAGAAUGCCAUGGCCAGCCAGGGGCCCUGACCUUUCCCCCAUAGAUCACGUCUGACACAUCACCAGAAUGCCAUGGCCAACCAGGGGCCCUGACCUUUCCCCCAUAGAUCACGUCUGACACAUCACCAGAAUGUCAUGGCCAGCCAGGGAUCCUAGCCUUUCCGCCAUAGAUCACGUCUGACACAUCACCAGAAUGCCAUGGCCAGCCAGGGGUCCUAGCCGUUCCCCCAUAGAUCACGUCUGACACAUCACCAGAAUGCCAUGGCCAGCCAGGGGCCCUGACCUUUCCCCCAUAGAUCACGUCUGACACAUCACCAGAAUGCCAUGGCCACCCAGGGGCCCUGGCCUUUCCCCCAUAAAUCACGUCUGACACACGAUCGGGACAGGUUUACGCCGACGUAGACGUUAGCCAGUCCUUACUUAUUCUAAUCAAUCCAUUACAAUAACCGCAUUCCUAUUUACAUUUCUGUAAUCAUCUGUUAUUUCCGAAUAUCCUCUACUGUUUCCUGAGAGUAUGUAUUUAUGUGUACAGCGUGUAAAAUGCACGAGUUCGCCACACACAGAAAUGGUUUCUUGCUUGGCAUAAAUCAGUGAAGGUAUGUGUAUAUGGGUCAUGUCCAAGGACAACACAUUCUACAGCAGUGUGUUUGUGUCACAAAUGCAUGCAUUUGGCCGUGUUUGUACACAACACUGCUUGACGCCGUGUAUUCAUUGCGUGUAUGUAUUAUUCCCUGUCUAACAGCAUGAAGACAGUGCUCCUGUGUAUCGCGUCUCAGUUCGCUCUUACUUCAGACAUUCCUUCCACAACAGCCACACACACACAUGCCAUAUAGCAGAAGUUCUGUUACACACCACCGUUCCCCAACAGUUCUAUAUUCAUAAACAUGCUUUAUAUGAAUGCUUCAUGUGCUUUAAACAAAUAUACAUGGAUUCACUGUUCACUGACCAGAUCCUUAUAUUUGUGAACGUACUCAUAACGUAUUGCUCUUCUUAGGCGGGUUCGAUUUCCAACAUGUGAUGUGUAUUACUCCCGCCAUCGUGUCAUUGGAACAGUUGCAAUACAACCAUCGUACACAAGUAUGGUAGGAAUGUAUAUAUGCAUAUAACUUCAUCUUUUAGUUGGAUGUAUGUCGGAUGUUGAUAUUCAUACCUUGUUUGGUUCAUAACGAGGAACGUGAUUUAUCAAUUCUGUCAUCCCACUAUAUUGCUACAAGUCAAGAACCCCACAUCUUCCCGAGGCAAGAGAGUUAACUGUCUUUAAAAGUCCAGUUUCCACCCUUGACGAACUAGGCCUGAAUUCCUGUGCUCGAUCGUAGCGCCACCAGUGGCUAUAACGAGUUAUGUCCCUUCUAUGCCUCUCCUAUGUACCCGUCAGAUUCCACCUCUCGUAUCACUUGCAUUUACUUCAAAAAAAAUGGCGGCGCCAGGUCAAGACGAUCCGAUCGAUAAUCAAGAUCUAUAUUGUGAUAAAACGGGUCUUACAUCGCCAAGUGCACCAAGUCACGUGAGAACCUGGAAUAAAAACAUGGCGGUUGCACUUUCUUUGAAAUUCCUGCAAUUGACCGAAAUCUGCAUGACAGUUUUCAAACCAGAUUUCGAUUUCGUUGCUCGAUUGUGAUUGGACUAUGCAUAGACUCGUUGGUCCAGCCAAAAUGUAACUCCAUAAUACCAGCCUAGCGCCCUUGCGUUUGGAUAAUACUUGUCACCUACCAUCGGACGAACCCUUGUGAUCGUUAACCAAUAAGCCCCAUUUGUUUUCACAACCGAUCAUCAAUCGUCACAUAUGGAAGGGGCCUGCAAUCAACAUAAUAAUAUUCUUACAAAUAAAGCAGUCAUGAUCAGAUUAUGGAUUAAACUUUACCGUGUUUGCGUA